UGUAUUUUCCUCUCAUUAUUUCUCAAUAUAAAUUUGUUUCUGGGAUGUUCUGUCUUAUUAUUAGAUAUUUACUAUUUUUAAGGAUAUCUACAUAUUUAUAUUACUUACUGUUUUGUCUUUGUAAAGAGGGCCUUAAUCUUUCCAAUUAGUCUAAUGUAAUCCAACAUUGCAAGAACUUUCUGGAGAAAAUGAGAAAGCACCAGAGAUAGCCCAUUGAGAGACCACAGAAAUUUUUACAUCUACAUCUAGCUUCCAGAAUCAGGGAGGUUUGGUAGUGUCACUUCCGUGAGUGAGAGGUUACUUUCAGGAGCUGGGGUGACUAAUGGACAGCCACACCUUAUGGUGAUGACUAAAAAAGCCACAUUUCUGGAGCUCCAGGGAAAACUUGCAGGUAGCUUUUCUUAAGUCUUCUCUUGGCCAGUAAUUCUUUCCUGCUGACUGAACCCUGAGAGGGGCUUUAUGGAUCAGCUAAGUCAUCAGAGCUCCUACAGCUUGAUAAGUUUUAUGAGCUUCCUGCAUUGUAUGGGCCAAAAUCCUUCCUUCAGGUGGGAAUGUCCUAAUGAGCUACUUCCAUCAAAAUAGCUACACUAAUGCUUAGGUUAGUCUGGAGGUCCAGUCCUUAUGUAUUCCAGGGUGGCCUUGUACUGCUGUAGGCUAACUGUAUCUGUUAAUUCCAUCUUGGAAGAAUAAGAUUACUACCACAACUUUUUAGCUAAGUUUGAAGCAAGUUUUACUCAAUAUUGUCUGGGAUGAUGGACACCUAAUAGGUCCAUACCAGGAUUUCCAGAGAAUGGCCCUGAAUUACGUUAAUUCAGUGCUUAUAAAGAGAAACACCAAAAUACUGCAUACUUCCCAUAUUUGUCCAAUCCAAGGCAAGUAUUCAUCCUGAUAUGCUUUGUGCCUGUGUACCUCCAUCCUACAUGUGAUCAUGCACAUCGUGGGCAGUUGGGGGCAAUCCACGUUAUUUAUAGAAGUGAAAACAUGUGGUAUGUUAUCUUAUAUGAACAGCCUGGAGCAUUUCAGGAAGUUACCUGUCCUUGAGAAGGUGGGGCUUAAAGGUUUAUCUGUUCUUAGGAAAGCUGGCUUACAAGUUAGAGAUAUUUUUGUGGGUUUUUUUUUAUUUUUUUUAUUUUUUUAAUAGGGUUGCAGACCCCUUUAGCUCCUUAGUUACUUUCUCUAGCUCCUCCAUUGGGGGCCCUGUGAUCCGUCCAAUAGCUUACUGUGAGCAUCCAUUUCUGUGUUUGCUAGGCCCCGACAUAGUCUCACAAGAGACAGCUAUAUCAGGGUCCUUUCAGCAAAAUCUUGCUAGUGUAUGCAAUGGUGUCUGCGUUUGGUGGCUGAUUAUGGGAUGGAUCCCCAGAUAUGGUAGUCUUGAUGGUCCAUCCUUUUAAGCACAAUAAUUAAAUCUUAAAACAUUAUCACCUGUGGAAAUAAUUUUUUCAAAUAUUACAAUUUUUUAACAGUCACAUUUUAAUUUCUCUCAUUUUUAUUAUGAACAGAACAAGGAAUCUGACUAUGGCUUAUUAAAUUUUUAUGGUUGCAAAACAAUACCAUGCAGCACAGGGUAAUCGUUGUACAACAGGCAUGCAGAGCUCAUACUUCUUGCCUGAAAAGUUGUUCCCAUAGUUUUUCCCCAACUCUCUUUAUUCUCUUCUACCUAUGCCUUGAUAGCCACUUUAUUGUUCUUUGGUUCUAUGAAUUGUACCUCAGUACCUUAUAUAGUAAGUAAGUGACAAACUUUCUGGGAAUAGCCUGCUUACUCAAGGUCAUCCUAAAAGCUUUUUCAUGCUACAUAUUGUAGAACUACUUUCCCCUUUUUGGCUAAUAGCAUUCCAGAGGUGUGUGUGUUCAUGUGUGUAUUAUUAUCCAUCUGUCAAUCAGGAUACAUAUCUUUGCUACUUUGAAUACUACUGCAAUAAACGUAGGAAUGAUACCACUUUUAGGUACUGACCUGAAUUCAAGCCAUUGCAGUCCUCCUUCCCCCCAGUCAUUUAAGAAUUAUAAGUGGAAGGAUUUGGGACUGGGGCAAUCUACAUUAAUUGCAAUAAAUAAUUUUAAUACAAAGACAUGCUCACUGAAUUUUGUCACACUCACUAAUUGAACACAAAAUUAUCAAAAUGACUACAUACCACUAUUUAAUUGUUACAUUGCUUUCUAGUUAUAAUGUAAGUAAAAGAAACUGCAGCGAGGCUUCUGUCCCUCUGUUGUGCAAGUUCUUGUACUAAGUGAACUUUACCACUUUAAGUCAACACAUUCAUAAAAUCAGUGAAAUUAAGUUUCACAGACUAUCAAGUGACUACUCUUGUAAAAUUUGAGAAUGUAAGAAUUGGAAUGAGUGAUAAAGACAUCAUAACUCACCCCCUUAUUACACUGGAGGAAACUGGUGUCCAGAAUGAUUAAAUCGCACACCCACUCUCAUAUUACCCAACCAGCAGAAUGAAAGUGUGGUGCUGCCCGGUAGAGUUUAUGAUCACUCUUUUUCUCGUUCUUUGAUAUAAUUUUUAUGUCUUUCUUAAUGUUUCCCUGGUAAAUAUAUUCCUGCAUAACCUACACAAAGUUAGUUUUAUUUAUUUUAUAUCAUCUCCUGCCACACAUAUCUGUGUUUAUUAAAAGUACAAAAUUACAGUUAUUUUCUUUUUCCUCCAAUUCAAAACAUUUAUUCAAAGUUAUAUCUCAAUAUACCUUAUGGCUCCAACAUUUUCAAAUGUACAUACAUGAUAUCUCACUACAGUUUUUGGUCAUUGUUGUUUUGAAGCAGGGUCUUAUACAUCCCAAAUAAGCCUGAAACUUACUAUAUAUUCAAAGAUGGCUUGAAUUCCUGACCUUCCUGCCUUUCUCUCCCAAGUGCUAGGAUGACAGAUCUGUGCUAACCCACCCAGCAUACUUCAUACUUUCUUAGGUCACCACAGUGUUGAUUAUUUCACACAGUUGGAUUUGAGAAACACAUCAAUGGGCAUCCAUUCAUGUGUGCUCAUGGACUCAUAACUUUUAAAGUGGUAGGUUUCUAUUAAGUUAGACUUAAGUUACAUAAAGAACUGCAUGUAUCGUGCUACUUUCUAAGUAACAACAACAGCAGCAACAACAACUUCUGCUAUUACAAUCAUGAACUGUAUCAUUAUGGCCUGGUCUAGCCUCUAUAUAAGUAUAAUGAAGUGUUGUAGCCCAUAACACUUGACAUUUUUAUUCUAAAAUAGCGAAAUAUUUCUAACUUGAAUGAGAUUUGCUAAACACAGGGUUUGUUUUCUAUACAUCGGCUACAGCCUUUGCUUUUAUAUUUUCUGCAUCCAUAUUACUUUUAUAAUUGAACUCUGAAUUGAUAUUCUAGUAUGGACCUCAGUUAAGUAUUUACUGGCAUGGAGUCACUCCCACCUUACUUAAUUUUCUUGGUUUUCGUUUAAUGUACCAAUGCCAAAUCUCAACUCCUGGUCCACAGUGCUCUAUGUUAGGAACUCCGCACACUCACAGUUAUUUUACCUUGGUGACUCUUCUGCCCUCUGGUGUCUGAAAUGAGCAACUGAACAAACAGGUUUUCUUUAGAUGAAUUUUUAGAAUCUUUACUGUCCUGUUUGGUUUAGUGCUGUGAAGUUCCAAUUGAGAAAAAAAAAAGAAGAAGAAGAAG
This 3619-nucleotide long non-coding RNA is filed under the name Mus musculus (house mouse). Its description in RNAcentral is "long non-coding RNA chr5:12554631-12558250". The record is from RNAcentral. Lineage: Eukaryota; Metazoa; Chordata; Mammalia; Rodentia; Muridae.